CCUACGGGAGGCAGCAGUGAGGAAUAUUGGUCAAUGGACGAGAGUCUGAACCAGCCAAGUAGCGUGAAGGAUGACUGCCCUAUGGGUUGUAAACUUCUUUUAUAAAGGAAUAAAACGAGGCACGUGUGCCUUUUUGCAUGUACUUUAUGAAAAAGCAUCGGCUAACUCCGUGCCAGCAGCCGCGGUAAUACGGAGGAUGCGAGCGUUAUCCGGAUUUAUUGGGUUUAAAGGGUGCGCAGGGGGUCUGUUAAGUCAGCGGUAAAAGCCCGGGGCUCAACCCCGGCGAGCCGUUGAAACUGGCGGGCUGGAGUUGGAGAGAGGUACGCGGAAUGCGCGGUGUAGCGGUGAAAUGCUUAGAUAUCGCGCAGAACCCCGAUUGCGAAGGCAGCGUACCGGCUCCACACUGACGCUGAGGCACGAAAGCGUGGGUAUCGAACAGGAUUAGAUACCCUAGUAGUC
This 459-nucleotide ribosomal RNA is filed under the name uncultured bacterium. RNAcentral describes it as "partial 16S ribosomal RNA". It matches the Rfam family "Bacterial small subunit ribosomal RNA", at positions 338 to 795 of the family's 1533-position model. The record is from RNAcentral.